RNAcentral lists this ribosomal RNA (497 nucleotides) under uncultured bacterium. Its description in RNAcentral is "partial 16S ribosomal RNA". It matches the Rfam family "Bacterial small subunit ribosomal RNA", at positions 28 to 507 of the family's 1533-position model. The record is from RNAcentral.
GAUGAACGCUGGCGGCGUGCCUAAUACAUGCAAGUCGAGCGAACGGACGAGAAGCUUGCUUCUCUGAUGUUAGCGGCGGACGGGUGAGUAACACGUGGAUAACCUACCUAUAAGACUGGGAUAACUUCGGGAAACCGGAGCUAAUACCGGAUGAUAUUUUGAACCGCAUGGUUCAAAAGUGAAAGACGGUCUUGCUGUCACUUAUAGAUGGAUCCGCGCUGCAUUAGCUAGUUGGUAAGGUAACGGCUUACCAAGGCAACGAUGCAUAGCCGACCUGAGAGGGUGAUCGGCCGCACUGGAACUGAGACACGGUCAAGACUACUACGGGAGGCAGCAGUAGGGAAUCUUCCGCAAUGGGCGAAAGCCUGACGGAGCAACGCCGCGUGAGUGAUGAAGGUCUUCGGAUCGUAAAACUCUGUUAUUAGGGAAGAACAUAUGUGUAAGUAACUGUGCACAUCUUGACGGUACCUAAUCAGAAAGCCACGGCUAACUACGUG